CCUACGGGUGGCAGCAGUGAGGAAUAUUGGUCAAUGGACGAGAGUCUGAACCAGCCAAGUAGCGUGAAGGAUGACUGCACUGUGGGUUGUAAACUUCUUUUAUAAAGGAAUAAAACGAGGCACGCGUGCCUGGUUGCGUGUACUUUAUGAAUAAGGAUCGGCUAACUCCGUGCCAGCAGCCGCGGUAAUACGGAGGAUCCGAGCGUUAUCCGGAUUUAUUGGGUUUAAAGGGAGCGUAGAUGGGUUGUUAAGUCAGUGGUUAAAGUUUGGGGCUCAACCGUGAAAUUGCAAUUGAUACUGGCAGUCUUGAGUACAGUUGAGGUAGGCGGAAUUCGUGGUGUAGCGGUGAAAUGCUUAGAUAUCGCGAAGAACCCCGAUUGCGAAGGCAGCUUACUAAACUGUGACUGACAUUGAGGCUCGAAAGUGUGGGUAUCAAACAGGAUUAGAUACCCGAGUAGUC
Molecule: ribosomal RNA, 460 nt
Filed under: uncultured bacterium
Lineage: Bacteria
Description: partial 16S ribosomal RNA
Rfam family: Bacterial small subunit ribosomal RNA
Source: RNAcentral